This 432-nucleotide ribosomal RNA is filed under the name uncultured eukaryote. RNAcentral's name for it is "SSU rRNA". It matches the Rfam family "Eukaryotic small subunit ribosomal RNA", at positions 619 to 1059 of the family's 1831-position model. The record is from RNAcentral.
UUAAAAAGCUCGUAGUUGGAUUUCUGGGAGGGUGCCAAUGUCCGUCAACGUGCGUGUGCAGCGGCGCCCUUCCAUCCUUCUGUUAACGCCUCUGGGCAUUUAUUUGCUGGUGGCGGGCUCAGAUAUUUUACCUUGAGAAAAUUAGAGUGUUUCAGGCAGGCUAGGCCGGAAUACAUUAGCAUGGAAUAAUAGAAUAGGACUAUGGUCUCUUUGUUGGUUUGAGGGACUAUGGUAAUGAUUAAUAGGGAUAGUUGGGGGCAUUAGUAUUUAAUUGUCAGAGGUGGAAUUCUCAGAUUUGUUAAAGACUAACUUAUGCGAAAGCAUUUGCCAAGGAUGUUUUCAUUAAAUCAAGAACGAAAGUUAGGGGAUCAAAGACGAUCAGAUACCCGUCCUAGUCUUAACCCUUAAACUAUGCCGACUCGGGAUCGGGGG